RNAcentral lists this ribosomal RNA (497 nucleotides) under uncultured bacterium. Its description in RNAcentral is "partial 16S ribosomal RNA". It matches the Rfam family "Bacterial small subunit ribosomal RNA", at positions 28 to 507 of the family's 1533-position model. The record is from RNAcentral.
GACGAACGCUGGCGGCGUGCCUAAUACAUGCAAGUUGAGCGCUGAAGGUUGGUACUUGUACCAACUGGAUGAGCAGCGAACGGGUGAGUAACGCGUGGGGAAUCUGCCUUUGAGCGGGGGACAACAUUUGGAAACGAAUGCUAAUACCGCAUAAAAACUUUAAACACAAGUUUUAAGUUUGAAAGAUGCAAUUGCAUCACUCAAAGAUGAUCCCGCGUUGUAUUAGCUAGUUGGUGAGGUAAAGGCUCACCCAGGCGAUGAUACAUAGCCGACCUGCGAGGGUGGUUGGCCACAUUCGGACUGAGACACGGCCCAAACUCCUUCGGGAGGCAGCAGUAGGGAAUCUUCCGCCAUGGACGAAAGUCUGACCGAGCAACGCCGCGUGAGUGAAGGAGGUUUUCGGAUCGUAAAAAUCUGUUGGUAGAGAAGAACGUUGGUGAGAGUGGAAAGCUCAUCAAGUGACGGUAACUACCCAGAAAGGGACGGCUAACUACGUG